RNAcentral lists this ribosomal RNA (461 nucleotides) under uncultured bacterium. RNAcentral's name for it is "bacterial SSU rRNA". It matches the Rfam family "Bacterial small subunit ribosomal RNA", at positions 340 to 786 of the family's 1533-position model. The record is from RNAcentral.
UACGGAAGGCAGCAGUGGGGAAUAUUGCACAAUGGGCGAAAGCCUGAUGCAGCUAUGCCGCGUGUAUGAAGAAGGCCUUAGGGUUGUAAAGUACUUUCAUCGGGGAGGAAAAAAACAAAACUAAUAAUUUUAUUUCUUGACGUUACCCGAAAAAGAAGCACCGGCUAACUCCGUGCCAGCAGCCGCGGUAAUACGGAGGGUGCUAGCGUUAAUCAGAAUUACUGGGCGUAAAGAGCACGUAGGUGGUUUUUUUAAAGUCAGAUGUGAAAUCCCUGGGCUUAACCUAGGAACUGCAUUUUGAAACUGAAAUACUAGAGUAUCGUAGAGGGAGGUAGAAUUCUAGGUGUAGCGGUGAAAUGCGUAGAUAUCUGGAGGAAUGCCUGUGGCGAAAGCGGCCUCCUAAAACGAAAUACUGACACUGAGGUGCGAAAAGCGUGGGGAGCAAAACAGGAUUAGAUACC